CCUACGGGAGGCAGCAGUGAGGAAUAUUGGUCAAUGGGCGAGAGCCUGAACCAGCCAAGUCGCGUGAAGGAUGACGGCCCUACGGGUUGUAAACUUCUUUUGUCAGGGAGCAAUUGAGUCCACGUGUGGGCUUAGCGAGAGUACCUGAAGAAAACGCAUCGGCUAACUCCGUGCCAGCAGGCGCGGUAAUACGGAGGAUGCGAGCGUUAUCCGGAUUUAUUGGGUGUAAAGGGUGCGUAGGCGGAAUAUCAAGUCAGCGGUAAAACUUCGGGGCUCAACCCCGUCGAGCCGUUGAAACUGAGGUUCUUGAGUGGGCGAGAAGUAUGCGGAAUGCGUGGUGUAGCGGUGAAAUGCAUAGAUAUCACGCAGAACUCCGAUUGCGAAGGCAGCAUACCGGCGCUCAACUGACGCUCAUGCACGAAAGUGUGGGUAUCGAACAGGAUUAGAUACCCCAGUAGUC
This 460-nucleotide ribosomal RNA is filed under the name uncultured bacterium. RNAcentral's name for it is "partial 16S ribosomal RNA". It matches the Rfam family "Bacterial small subunit ribosomal RNA", at positions 338 to 795 of the family's 1533-position model. The record is from RNAcentral.